RNAcentral lists this ribosomal RNA (499 nucleotides) under uncultured bacterium. Its description in RNAcentral is "partial 16S ribosomal RNA". It matches the Rfam family "Bacterial small subunit ribosomal RNA", at positions 30 to 523 of the family's 1533-position model. The record is from RNAcentral.
AUUGAACGCUGGCGGAAUGCUUUACACAUGCAAGUCGAACGGCAGCACGGACUUCGGUCUGGUGGCGAGUGGCGAACGGGUGAGUAAUGUAUCGGAACGUAUCCAAUAAUGGGGGAUAACUAGUCGAAAGAUUAGCUAAUACCGCAUACGCCCUACGGGGGAAAGCUAGGGACCUUCGGGCCUGGCGUUAAUGGAGCGGCCGAUAUCUGAUUAGCUAGUUGGUGAGGUAAAAGCUCACCAAGGCGACGAUCAGUAGCUGGUCUGAGAGGACGACCAGCCAAACUGGAACUGAGACACGGUCCAGACUCCUACGGGAGGCAGCAGUGGGGAAUUUUGGACAAUGGGCGAGAGCCUGAUCCAGCCAUUCCGCGUGAGUGAAGAAGGCCUUCGGGUUGUAAAGCUCUUUCGCAAGAGAAGAAAACUUACCCUCUACAUAGGGUGAGGCUGACGGUAUCUUGAUAAGAAGCACCGGCUAACUACGUGCCAGCCGCCGCAGUAA